RNAcentral lists this long non-coding RNA (335 nucleotides) under Elaeis guineensis (African oil palm). Its description in RNAcentral is "long non-coding RNA (EGUI_LNC003780)". The record is from RNAcentral. Lineage: Eukaryota; Viridiplantae; Streptophyta; Magnoliopsida; Arecales; Arecaceae.
CCUAGCCUUCUUAUCUCAACCUUUCUUUUCUCCUUACCUUUCCUGAUUCUCUUCCUAUACCCUUAUCCUAAAAUCAAACUUGUCCUUACUAUUUUAGGACUUAUUCUAAAAAAAAAGGAAGAGAGCUAUUCAAACAAUCUAGGAGACUUUUAUAAGAAAGAAAAGAUAAGAAUUUUUUUCGAUGGAAUGAAUGUCGGUGCAUGUCUCCUUUUAUAGUUGGAGACCGGAUGCUAACCGGGACAACUCGCACCCCGUCCGAGAGUUAUCUCAUGCCCCAUCAAAUUUUCUCAUACCUUUCCACCAUUUCUCAUGCCUUCCAGCAAUAUUGGGAUAAG